UUGUCAUUGCUGUGGAUCUUUACCUGAUACACUGACUUGGCUCAGGACCAGCACUCCUGCUGUUGGACAGAAAGACAUCAACUCAGUGACUUGAGAUAUGACUGCACUAUGCUGUUGCUGGUGACUCCAGUUAAUUCUACAAGACA
Long non-coding RNA from Pundamilia nyererei, 146 nucleotides. RefSeq lists it as uncharacterized. The transcript is spliced from 3 exons. The record is from RefSeq and is a predicted model, not a curated record. Lineage: Eukaryota; Metazoa; Chordata; Actinopteri; Cichliformes; Cichlidae.